RNAcentral lists this ribosomal RNA (492 nucleotides) under uncultured bacterium. RNAcentral's name for it is "partial 16S ribosomal RNA". It matches the Rfam family "Bacterial small subunit ribosomal RNA", at positions 29 to 507 of the family's 1533-position model. The record is from RNAcentral.
AGUGAACGCUGGCGGUAGGCCUAACACAUGCAAGUCGAACGGCAGCACAGUAAGAGCUUGCUCUUACGGGUGGCGAGUGGCGGACGGGUGAGGAAUACAUCGGAAUCUACUUUUUCGUGGGGGAUAACGUAGGGAAACUUACGCUAAUACCGCAUACGACCUACGGGUGAAAGCAGGGGAUCUUCGGACCUUGCGCGAUUGAAUGAGCCGAUGUCGGAUUAGCUAGUUGGCGGGGUAAAGGCCCACCAAGGCGACGAUCCGUAGCUGGUCUGAGAGGAUGAUCGGCCACACUGGAACUUAGACACGGUCCAGACUCCUACGGGAGGCAGCAGUGGGGAAUAUUGGACAAUGGGCGCAAGCCUGAUCCAGCCAUACCGCGUGAGUGAAGAAGGCCUUCGGGUUGUAAAGCCCUUUUGUUGGGAAAGAAAAGCAGCAGGUUAAUACCCCGCUGUUCUGACGGUACCCAAAGAAUAAGCACCGGCUAACUUCGUG